AGCGAACGCUGGCGGCAGGCUUAACACAUGCAAGUCGAGCGGGCCCUUCGGGGUCAGCGGCAGACGGGUGAGUAACACGUGGGAACGUACCCUUUGGCUCGGAAUAACGCUGGGAAACUAGCGGUAAUACCUGAUACGCCCUUUUGGGGAAAGGCUUGCUGCCGAAGGAUCGGCGCGGGUCUGAUUAGCUAGUUGGUGGUGUAAUGGCCUACCAAUGCGAAGAGCAGUAGCUGGUCUGAGAGGAUGAUCAGCCACACUGGGACUGAGACACGGCCCAGUCACGUACGGGAGGCAGCAGUGGGGAAUAUUGGACAAUGGGGGCAAGCCUGAUCCAGCCAUGCCGCGUGAGUUAUGAAGGCCUUAGGGUUGUAAAGCUCUUUUGUCCGGGACGAUAAUGACGGUACCGGAAGAAUAAGCCCCGGCUAACUUCGUG
Molecule: ribosomal RNA, 433 nt
Filed under: uncultured bacterium
Lineage: Bacteria
Description: partial 16S ribosomal RNA
Rfam family: Bacterial small subunit ribosomal RNA
Source: RNAcentral